Molecule: long non-coding RNA, 272 nt
Organism: Rosa chinensis
Lineage: Eukaryota; Viridiplantae; Streptophyta; Magnoliopsida; Rosales; Rosaceae
Exons: 3
Source: RefSeq, a predicted model, not a curated record
GUUUCUCCCUUCCUUUUUUGGGGAACGAGCGAGGGUAAAAGAUGAAUCAUGUAGCUAUGCUAAGUGGCUCACAUCAACCAUUGAGAUGUGUGGUCUGAAGAGGUUUCAUCGCCGUCUCCAACAAUGCUCCAAGAUAUUCAUUCCCUUGCACGACAAUAUGGAAGACCACUGGAUUCUGUUGGUCAUGCACCUCCCUGAAAAAAAAAGGCAGAGAUGCUGGACAGCUUCCCUGAUGUAAGGUCACAUGAGAGGCGAAUGGAUCAUGCAAGAGA